This 253-nucleotide ribosomal RNA is filed under the name uncultured bacterium. RNAcentral's name for it is "partial 16S ribosomal RNA". It matches the Rfam family "Bacterial small subunit ribosomal RNA", at positions 524 to 776 of the family's 1533-position model. The record is from RNAcentral.
UACGUAGGUGGCAAGCGUUGUUCGGAAUUACUGGGCGUAAAGCGCACGUAGGCGGCUUGGUAAGUCUGUCGUGAAAUGCUGGGGCUCAACCCUGGACGUGCGAUGGAUACUGCUUGGCUAGAGGAUGGUAGAGGCGAGUGGAAUUCCCGGUGUAGCGCUGAAAUGCGCAGAUAUCGGGAGGAACACCAGUAGCGAAGGCGGCUCGCUGGGCCAUUCCUGACGCUGAGACGCGAAAGCAUGGGGAGCAAACAGG